AAGGGAUAGAUACCAGAAGAGAAAUUUUGUGUACAUUUUAAUUUGGGUUGUGGAAAAUUGUAUUCUCUAUUAAAGGGUUUAGAGGAGUGCAUUCAAAUAAUACUCCUAACAGUUGGAUAAACUGUCAUGAGGGCAUUUGGCUGUGAAGUUGCAAUGAGUGGAGAGGCAUUGACAUUGUUGCUGAUGGUGACGUUCCUGGUUGAUGACAUAGAAGACUUAAUUUCCUCCUCAUGAUUAAUCUCUCAGUUGGAGAGUAUACACACUCUUACACAGAAUCCAGGACGAAAGCCCUCAUCAGAUGCUUACAUCAUGAUCUUGGACUUCCCAGCCUCCAGACUGAUGCUAUGGAAGAUCAGAAAAUAUAAAUUUAUGAACUGCUAUAAACUGUUAUUUUCUUCGUGAAGAUCAGCACAACAAGAUGUUCCAGACUUAUUCAACAUAUUGUCCAGCCAGUCCUGGAAACAAUCAGUUCCCUGAGGACAGAAUUAAAGUUUAGAGACCUGAAUCUGGGCCCCAGGGGUGGUCAUUACUACUGGUUUGCCACUGCUUCUGUAGCUUUUCAGUGAAGAGCAACAAGAAACCAUGACAGCAAGGCCCCAAACAGGAACCUCCUGCAUUUUCUCAUCUGUGAUGAGGCACACUGAUGCUGGGGAUUAAUGAGCCUGAAGAUAUAAAGCAGUGUUUACCACUGGAAAAUGUCUCCUACACUAAAAGCAGAGGCACAUGCCACUGGCCCUCCAUGACACCUGCUCACCAGACACUGUCCUUCCACUUCAGAAGGAUACCGGAUCCUCAUCAGGCCGUCUGACUUCUUACCUUGGGAAUGAGAACCUUGACAGAGGAAGCCUCAGAACUGAAGAUUCUGGGACUCACAGCAGUGGCCCACUCAGGCCCUUGAGACUUUGGCUUCGGACUAAGAGACCAUUGGAAUCUGUAGUUCUGAGGCCUUCAGACUUGACUUGGAUUGAGCCACGCUUCUGGCCUCCCCGUUUCUCCGGCUUGCAGACGGCUCAUCGUGGGACUUCCCUGUUUCCAUAAUUGG
Long non-coding RNA from Homo sapiens (human), 1042 nucleotides. NCBI's taxonomy places the organism in Eukaryota, Metazoa, Chordata, Mammalia, Primates, Hominidae. The record is from Ensembl.